AAGGCAGUCUUUCAACCAACUGAGCCACCCAGGAGAACUAUUAUCCCAGUCUCACAGAUGGGAGAAUGGAUUUCUGAAGAUGCUUAAUAAAUCUGUCCAAGAUUAUACAGUCAGUUGGAGAGGAACACAGCAUUUUUCUUGUUGCAAGAAUCUGAGUGACAGUUUCUGAGUUCCUUACAUGUCAGAGUUGAAACUGAAAGUCUGCAUACAUUUUUAAAUAAACUUUUUAUUUUAGAACAUUUAUAUAUACUUUUCAGAGUUCAUCUGUUAAUUCAAAACUAACAUGUGCCCUAGUAUCAAACAGACAUUUUUCAGAGUGUCCCUUUUUGGUUUUCUUUUCUCCCCCUGCCUUCUUUCUCUUCUCUCUCUCUUUGGUUUUUGUUGUUUGUUAUUUUGUUUGUUUAUAGAUAAGUUUCCUCCAAAGGAAAUGCUGUUAUCUGUCCUUGUUUCUUGCAUGUAUCUCAACUACAAUUUGGGAGAGACAUGAGGAUUUCCAUAAUGGUGUUGGGUCAACUGUUUUAUGCAUAUUUUUGUUUUUAAAUAGAGAACCUAAACCCA
Long non-coding RNA from Lutra lutra (Eurasian river otter), 558 nucleotides. RefSeq lists it as uncharacterized. The transcript has 3 exons. NCBI's taxonomy places the organism in Eukaryota, Metazoa, Chordata, Mammalia, Carnivora, Mustelidae. The record is from RefSeq and is a predicted model, not a curated record.